This 253-nucleotide ribosomal RNA is filed under the name uncultured bacterium. RNAcentral's name for it is "partial 16S ribosomal RNA". It matches the Rfam family "Bacterial small subunit ribosomal RNA", at positions 524 to 776 of the family's 1533-position model. The record is from RNAcentral.
UACGAAGGGGGCUAGCGUUGUUCGGAAUUACUGGGCGUAAAGGGCUCGUAGGUGGCCAACUAAGUCAGACGUGAAAUCCCUCGGCUUAACCGGGGAACUGCGUCUGAUACUGGAUGGCUUGAGUUUGGGAGAGGGACGCGGAAUUCCAGGUGUAGCGGUGAAAUGCGUAGAUAUCAGGAAGAACACCAAUGGCGAAAGCAGCUCUCUGGGACGGUACUGACGCUGAGACGCGAAAGCGUGGGGAGCGAACAGG